GACGAACGCUGGCGGCGUGCUUAACACAUGCAAGUCGAACGGAAAGGCUCCAGCUUGCUGGAGUACUCGAGUGGCGAACGGGUGAGUAACACGUGGGUAAUCUGCCCUGCACUCUGGGAUAAGCCUGGGAAACUGGGUCUAAUACUGGAUAUGACCUUUCUCCUUAUGGGGGUUGGUGGAAAGUUUUCCGGGGUAGGAUGAGCCCGCGGCCGAUCAGCUUGUUGGGGGGGUGAUGGCCUACCAAGGCGCAGACGGGUAGCCGGCCUGAGAGGGUGAUCGGCCACGUUGGGACUGAGAUACGGCCCAGACUCCUACGGGAGGCAGCAGUGGGGAAUAUUGCACAAUGGGCGGAAGCCUGAUGCAGCGACGCCGCGUGAGGGAUGACGGCCUUCGGGUUGUAAACCUCUUUCAGCAGGGACGAAGCGUAAGUGACGGUACCUGCAGAAGAAGCACCGGCUAACUACGUGCCAGCCGCCGCGGUAA
This 483-nucleotide ribosomal RNA is filed under the name uncultured bacterium. Its description in RNAcentral is "partial 16S ribosomal RNA". It matches the Rfam family "Bacterial small subunit ribosomal RNA", at positions 28 to 523 of the family's 1533-position model. The record is from RNAcentral.